CACGUAGGGAGCAAGCGUUGUCCGGAUUUAUUGGGCGUAAAGAGCUCGUAGGUGGUUCGGUAAGUCAGGUGUGAAACCUCCAGGCUCAACCUGGAGACGCCACUUGAUACUGCUGUGACUGGAGUCCGGUAGGGGAGCGUGGAAUUCCUGGUGUAGCGGUGAAAUGCGCAGAUAUCAGGAGGAACACCAGCGGCGAAGGCGGCGCUCUGGGCCGGUACCGACACUGAGGAGCGAAAGCGUGGGUAGCAAACAGG
Molecule: ribosomal RNA, 254 nt
Filed under: uncultured bacterium
Lineage: Bacteria
Description: partial 16S ribosomal RNA
Rfam family: Bacterial small subunit ribosomal RNA
Source: RNAcentral